GAAUACAUGCAAGUCGAACGAGGUAGCAAUACCAAGUGGCGCACGGUGAGAAACGCGUGGAUAAUCUGCCCUUCAGUGGGGAAUAANUAUCNGAAAGGAUAGCUAAUACCGCAUGAGGCCACAGUUCNUGCGGGAACAGAGGUUAAAGAUUUAUCGCUGAAGGAUGAGUCUGCGUGGGAUUAGCUAGUUGGUGGGGUAAUGGCCCACCAAGGCUACGAUCUCUAGCUGGUCUGAGAGGAUGAUCAGCCACACUGGAACUGAGACACGGUCCAGACUCNUACGGGAGGCAGCAGUAGGGAAUAUUGCGCAAUGGGGGAAACCCUGACGCAGCGACGCCGCGUGAGUGAUGAAGGCCUUAGGGUCGUAAAGCUCUGUUGUAUGGGAAGAAACAAAUGACGGUACCAUAUAAGAAAGGACCGGCUAACUUCGUGCCAGCAGCCGCGGUAAGACGAGGGGUCCUAGCGUUGUUCGGAAUCAUUGGGCGUAAAGCGUAUGUAGGCGGCCAUCUAAGUCAGGUGUGAAAUCCCCGGGCUCAACCCGGGAAGUGCAUUUGAUACUGGAUAGCUUGAGUAUGGGAGAGGAUAGUGGAAUUCCUGGUGU
This 600-nucleotide ribosomal RNA is filed under the name uncultured soil bacterium S076. RNAcentral's name for it is "bacterial SSU rRNA". It matches the Rfam family "Bacterial small subunit ribosomal RNA", at positions 49 to 676 of the family's 1533-position model. The record is from RNAcentral.